CAGUGGCGAACGGGUGAGUAACACGUGGGCAAUCUGCCCUGCACUNUGGGACAAGCCCUGGAAACGGGGUCUAAUACCGGAUAUGACCUUCCUCCGCAUGGGGGUUGGUGUAAAGCUCCGGCGGUGCAGGAUGAGCCCGCGGCCUAUCAGCUUGUUGGUGGGGUAAUGGCCUACCAAGGCGACGACGGGUAGCCGGCCUGAGAGGGCGACCGGCCACACUGGGACUGAGACACGGCCCAGACUCCUACGGGAGGCAGCAGUGGGGAAUAUUGCACAAUGGGCGAAAGCCUGAUGCAGCGACGCCGCGUGAGGGAUGACGGCCUUCGGGUUGUAAACCUCUUUCAGCAGGGAAGAAGCGCAAGUGACGGUACCUGCAGAAGAAGCACCGGCUAACUACGUGCCAGCAGCCGCGGUAAUACGUAGGGUGCGAGCGUUGUCCGGAAUUAUUGGGCGUAAAGAGCUCGUAGGCGGCCUGUCGCGUCGGAUGUGAAAGCCCGGGGCUUAACCCCGGGUCUGCAUUCGAUACGGGCAGGCUAGAGUGUGGUAGGGGAGAUCGGAAUUCCU
This 564-nucleotide ribosomal RNA is filed under the name Streptomyces sp. 340A10. RNAcentral describes it as "bacterial SSU rRNA". It matches the Rfam family "Bacterial small subunit ribosomal RNA", at positions 93 to 671 of the family's 1533-position model. Lineage: Bacteria; Bacillati; Actinomycetota; Actinomycetes; Kitasatosporales; Streptomycetaceae. The record is from RNAcentral.